This 491-nucleotide ribosomal RNA is filed under the name uncultured bacterium. RNAcentral describes it as "partial 16S ribosomal RNA". It matches the Rfam family "Bacterial small subunit ribosomal RNA", at positions 29 to 507 of the family's 1533-position model. The record is from RNAcentral.
AGUGAACGCUGGCGGUAGGCCUAACACAUGCAAGUCGAACGGCAGCACAGUAAGAGCCUGCUCUUACGGGUGGCGAGUGCGGACGGGUGAGGAAUACAUCGGAAUCUACUUUUUCGUGGGGGAUAACGUAGGGAAACUUACGCUAAUACCGCAUACGACCUACGGGUGAAAGCAGGGGAUCUUCGGACCUUGCGCGAUUGAAUGAGCCGAUGUCGGAUUAGCUAGUUGGCGGGGUAAAGGCCCACCAAGGCGACGAUCCGUAGCUGGUCUGAGAGGAUGAUCAGCCACACUGGGACUGAGACACGGUCCAGACUCCUACGGGAGGCAGCAGUGGGGAAUAUUGGACAAUGGGCGCAAGCCUGAUCCAGCCAUACCGCGUGGGUGAAGAAGGCCUUCGGGUUGUAAAGCCCUUUUGUUGGGAAAGAAAAGCAGCAGGUUAAUACCCCGCUGUUCUGACGGUACCCAAAGAAUAAGCACCGGCUAACUUCGUG